UUGAGAGUUUGAUCCUGGCUCAGGAUGAACGCUGGCGGCGUGCUUAACACGUGCAAGUCGAACGGAAAGGCCCUGCUUGCAGGGUGCUCGAGUGGCGAACGGGUGAGUAACACGUGGGUGAUCUGCCCCUGACUUUGGGAUAAGCCUGGGAAACUGGGUCUAAUACCGGAUAUGACCAUGGGAUGCAUGUUCUGUGGUGGAAAGCUUUUGCGGUUGGGGAUGGGCCCGCGGCCUAUCAGCUUGUUGGUGGGGUAAUGGCCUACCAAGGCGACGACGGGUAGCCGACCUGAGAGGGUGAUCGGCCACACUGGGACUGAGACACGGCCCAGACUCCUACGGGAGGCAGCAGUGGGGAAUAUUGCACAAUGGGCGCAAGCCUGAUGCAGCGACGCCGCGUGAGGGAUGACGGCCUUCGGGUUGUAAACCUCUUUCAGCAGGGACGAAGCGCGAGUGACGGUACCUGCAGAAGAAGCACCGGCCAACUACGUGCCAGCAGCCGCGGUAAUACGUAGGGUGCGAGCGUUGUCCGGAAUUACUGGGCGUAAAGAGCUCGUAGGCGGUUUGUCGCGUCGUCUGUGAAAUUCUGCAGCUUAACUGCAGGCGUGCAGGCGAUACGGGCAGACUUGAGUACUACAGGGGAGACUGGAAUUCCUGGUGUAGCGGUGAAAUGCGCAGAUAUCAGGGGAACACCGGUGGCGAAGGCGGGUCUCUGGGUAGUAACUGACGCUGAG
This 731-nucleotide ribosomal RNA is filed under the name uncultured bacterium. RNAcentral describes it as "bacterial SSU rRNA". It matches the Rfam family "Bacterial small subunit ribosomal RNA", at positions 1 to 750 of the family's 1533-position model. The record is from RNAcentral.